Molecule: long non-coding RNA, 6364 nt
Filed under: Zea mays
Lineage: Eukaryota; Viridiplantae; Streptophyta; Magnoliopsida; Poales; Poaceae
Description: long non-coding RNA (ZMAY_LNC002499)
Source: RNAcentral
UUCUUUUUGCCACUUCAGUUGUGUCACAAAUGAUACUAGAUUGUCGAAAUUCCAGCGCGCGCUGUUACAGAACAUCCCAUAAACUCCGGAGUACGACGCCACACGCCAUAAACUCCACUCAAAUAUACCUUCCAAACCAGGCUGCUAAAGUGCUAAUUGUGCACUGAAAUGCACAUAACAGCGAAAUUAAGUUGGAAUAGUGUGUAACCUCUACUAACAUCACAGCUUGCCGUAAAAUAAAUACUGAACACUCUUCAAAUCAUGACGGCAGAAGAACCAGCACUGACUGGAAGGCAAUCAGCACCCUUCAAAUCAUAAAAUCAGGAGACCAUUUACUUAUACUGACAUGUUCUUAGAACAAUUUCCACUCACCUUGUUAUGACUUCAUGGAGUCUGCUUGCAACAUCGUACCACAACGGUGUACCCACUGCAAUACCUAAACAUACUGCUUGUUGAUCCAAAAAGCAAAAGUCAUAUCUCUCAUUGAAGUAACCUCCACAUUGCCAAAUUGGACAAGUCGGAUUGCAAUUUCUUGUUCUAGUAACAAAUACCGUUCCCUCUUAGUUUUGUACUCCAAUUCCAUAUUAUAACACGUUUUGGCUUUUUUAGACAGCUUUUGGAUAUCUAUGUCUAAUGUAUAGUAAAAUCAAUCUAUCUAAAAGGCCGUUUGGUUACAUGGACUAAUGUCACUAAUCUUUAGUAUAGUUUUUAGUCCCGUUUAGUCUUUUUUUUACCAAACGGGAGGACUAAAGUAUUGACUAAUUGGCUUUAGUCUCUAGUCCUUCACAUGGCUGCUAAAAGGGACUAAAUGACAUCAUUUACACUAAUUACCCUUGCAUAGAGAAUCUGCACCGCACGCAAGCAAUAAGGAGAGGGGCAUUUUAGGCUUUGUGUACUUCAUUUAAUGUGUUUAGAAUCUAUUUAGUCUCUAAAACCAAACAGGAUAGAACUUAAGUUUAGUUUCUGGACUAAACUUUAGUCUUAGGACUAAUGGAACCAAACGGGACCUAAAAACCCAAAACGCCUACCUAAUAGCUGCUGUAUAUAUCAUGCUGCAAAAUUCCAAUUAAAUGUGUGUAUUACCAACACAUAUCAGUUAAGAUUUAUCCUGAUGUGUUCACUGAUAAUAUAACAUGUGCUUUUCCUCGUAGUUUUGGCAAAGGGAGGCAGCAAGCUUGAGACAACAACUGCACAACUUGCAAGAAAAUUAUCGGUAUGGUUUGAAACCCCUGCACAAGUUUUGAGCAAGCUAUUCAUUAGAAACUUGACUACUCAGAGACAGAAGUACAAUGCACAAGCAUGCAACAUCCAAAUGCUGCUACAACUAUUGCACAUUCAUAGGUACAAAAACAAUUAGCAAGAGCCAAAUUAUCAUGUGAAAGGCUAGACAGUAGACACCAAAAUAUUUCAUACGAGAUAAGUUGAGCAAGUGGAAGUUAUUCUAUGGCCAACAAUAAAACAAAAACAGGGCUAUCACAGCUAAACUACUUCCCCUGCUUCAUUUUAGAGGUGCAUUAGGAUUCAAAUAAGGCUUUAAGUGUACUUUGACCAUAAAUUUCUCUUAGGCCCCGUUUGUUUCGUUGGAAUUGAAUUCCAUUUUAAUAAUUAUAAUUUAGACAAAACUAAUUAAGUUUAUAUAUUUAUAUAUGUAAUAUAUUUGUAUAUUAUCCUAAAUCAUAUGAGAGAGAUAGUUAUAUACUACAUUUAUGUUAUAGCGAAACAAGUAUAAGAGUAUGCUAUAAGUUGUACAUCGGAAAAAUAACAUGUAAAUCUAUAGAAUCAAUUUCUAUCUCCCACUCCAUGAAUUUGAGAUAGACUUAUAUGAUAACUUUGGAAAGUGGUAGAAUGUCACAUUCUAAAAAAAAUAGACUGUUCUAUUAGUAAGAUUCUAAUUCCUCAAAAUGAAAGGAAACAAACGGGACAUUACAAUAAACGAAACCCAGAAAAAUCAAUGUUGUUUUCAAAGCUUUGUGAGAUAUGAAUAUGAUAGAUUUUUCAUACACUAAGCCUGCGUAUAAUUUUAUUAACUGUCAGUCAAAUUUUGUAAAACAGCCUUUUCCCAUAAAAAAAAGAGUAUAUCAAAACAUAUUCUGAUGAUGCUCUAGAUAUAUAUACACAAAACACUGAUGCCAAACCACAUAUAUCAAAAAUUGACAAACAUCAUGGCUAGUCUCUGUAGAAUUGUAUAAAACACUACAUUAAUUGGUACUGCAUAUUAAUUGGUUAUUACAGGCAGUUGAUGGGAGAGGAUCUUUCUGGGCUGAAUGUUAAAGAACUGCAGUCCCUAGAGAAUCAGUUGGAGACAAGCCUGCGUGGUGUCCGCACAAAGAAGGUUCGGUUCUUAAUCAAAUUUCUAUAAUCAGUUGUUUAACAAAUUACUAAAGAUCGUUAGUACUGUUGGUGCUCUUAACAGGACCAUCUCUUGAUAGAUGAGAUCCACGAAUUGAAUCGAAAGGUCUGCAGUAUGAUGACUUUAUAACUGUGUUAAGUGUUUUAUUUGGUUUAGUAACACUGACUAACUACUUUGUUGGUCGCAGGCAAGUUUAUUUCACCAAGAAAACACAGACUUGUACAAUAAGAUCAACCUGAUUCACCAAGAAAAUGCUGAAUUACAUAAAAAGGUAGCUGAUGAACUGAACGAACUGAACAAAAAUAUCACUAAGUAACCACAUAUAUGACAUGAUAUUAACUGUUGUCAGAUCUAUGAGACUGAAGGACCAAGUGGAGUUAAUCGGGAGCCACCAACUCCAUUCAACUUUGCAGUAGUAGAAACCAGAGAUGUUCCUGUGCAACUUGGACUCAGCACACUGCCCCAACAGAACAACAUUGAGCCAUCAACUGCUCCUAAGCUAGGGUAUAUAUUCUUUCUAUAUAUAUUUCUAUUGGUUAAUUAGUGUCCACUACAGUGCUAUAAUGAGUUGCUAAACACAUGCAGAUUGCAAUUAAGCCCAUGAAUAAGAGUAAAACUGGCGUCUUAUGAUCCCGAAGGAAACUAUUUAUUGUAAAGAGAUGAUACUCAGAGUAAGACAUAUUUGUGGCAGGGAGAUUUGAAAUAUGAACUUGUAAAUGUAAUGCAAAUAAUUUCCAGACUGGAAUUGGGCCGUGGAAUUCAGAGGAUGAUUGCAUUCUAGUUGCAUUUGAUGUUUGAUGAUACUUAUCAUAUUAAAAGUUUAAAACUUUAAAAGGGUGCAAAGAUUGCUACUACACUUGCUAGGCUUGUAUAAACAUCUGACCAUAUGUACUAGUAUUAGGAAAACAGAAAAGAAGGCAGACAGCUGUCGAACAUCUCCAUGUGUUUCUAAAAGGAAAUGUUUCAAUAGGGGACAAUGAUGCUACCUCAGAGUACAAACAGAGUCUAGUCUCCACUCAAUUGAGUUUUAUAUUCCUCUCAAGUGUUAUCAAGGGUUUUAGUAGGACACAGGGUAUUGGUCAUUUGUCGAGCCUGUGCUUAUUUGAGGUACUGGGCAGCUUUAUACAAUUACAAAUCAGGGCUAAAGGAAACUACCGUGAAAGGGAUGGGCGUCAUUCCACAGGCAACCAUCAGGAUCAUGACAUCGCAGGUGCAGGUACAGGUGCAUGACAUUGAAUCUGAUCUCCUUAAGUGCUAGAAAGCAAGCUACAGUGUCCAGGUUGAGCGUGAAGCAGGAUACAAAGCUCUAGCCAUUGCCAAGAUCAUGUGGAUACAGAAAUUGUUGACUGCAUUGGGCAUAGAACAUCCACAGAUGGCUCGUCUAUGGAGUGAUAACCUGGGGGCUAGGUAUUUGUUGUCAAAUCCUAUCUUCCAUGCUCGGGCUGGGCAGAUCGAGCCCUCAGGGUGGAGCUGUAGAGAGUGGUAGCAGCGCCAAAGCGAGGAGACACCACCUUAGUGAGCUCCUCGAGGAUGAGGUAAUCGCGGACCUUAUGGAAACACGGAAACGGGACUGAGCUAGUGAUAAGUCCAAAGGUAAUCAUAGCACUCGUUGAGGCUGUAGAAAAGGUUGAGAACGAGCGUGCGAUCGGAGACUGGCUCCCCGAGAUCACAGACGGAGGCAGUCAUGCCUUUCAUCUGGCGGCAAUACUCAGUGACAGAGAGGUCCCCCUGGACCAAAGUCUAAAAGGAGACGUCGAGUUGGAGUGCACGAGCCUCACGGUUAUCGAGGAAUUGUUCCUCGACAUCAACCUAGGUCUGGCAGACAGUGCCGCCACCCUCACGAAUGACAUCUUGUAGCUCAAGAGUGACUGUCCUGAGGAUCCAAGAGAGGAUCACACUAUCCAUCCAUCGAGUGUUUACAAGUCGUCCGACUAAUCGUGAUUAAUCGCGAUUAGUCGGGCUGGUCUCCUAGAAGAGGGCGAUUAGGUGGACGACGUGAUUAGGAUUUCAAGUCGUCCGACUAGUCGUCGACCUGGGCGAUUAGUCGUCCGGUCGAACGCUUCCUGGUCGUUUCUUGUCGUCGCAAUUUUGGUACUGGGCUUCACUCUAGUUUUUGGUCCAUCUACAGUAGCCCGAAAACAUGGUGCUGCUGCUGAUGCAUUUUGUUUGGAUGCUGAUCUGCUCUAGGUAGCAGCCAACAGGUAAUGCAGUACUUUUUACUGAAUUACUGCUAGUAAUUAUACCUAUAUUACUUUCAGUUUGGACUUUGGAUGGAUUCAGUUUUACACUUUGAAUUACUGCUAGUCUUCUACUAAUUAUGUCUAUAUUAUUGCAGAAAUGCAGUGCUUAUAUAGUUAUAUACAUAUACAUAUGUCCAUAAAUCUAUAGGACGACUAACGGACGACCAGAGGUCGACUAGAACCGAUUAGUCGACCUAAUCGUCGCCCUAAUCGCGAUUAGGCGUCUGGUCGCUGCUCUAACUCGACCAGCUGGUCGCCCGACUUGUAAACAUUGCAUCCAUCACCAGGCGGGGAUAGUGAUGGUCGCUAUGAUGGUGAGGACGUGGUCGUCUAGGACGUAUCCCUACAUGGUGAGGAGGACAAGGUCGUGCCAAUGAGUAUAGGUGGAGGAAGCCACGUCAAGGAUGAUGGGGACCAUAGAGCGGAUGUUCUAGAUACAUGCCGCCAGGGCAUGGUGGUUGUAAUGACGGCAGCCUCGUACGCCAAAAGGGAGUCGACCACUAGGGGCUCCAAGAGAGGGUCAAGGUAGGGAGAGCCGAGCAAAUGGCGCUCAGCCUCGACAAGCUGUCUGGCAAGGGUAUCAGCAGUGGUGUGCUCGUGUUCCUAUGUGAGAGCAGCAUCGCGUUCGCGCUCCCGGGUAGCAGCGACAACAGCCUUAGCAGUCGUGAGAGCCGUAACCAGGUUGGAGUGAGCAGUCAUGACGUCGGGUGCGAAAUAGGAUGGGGCGAUUAGGCUAUCCGCAACUGUUACCCCUAAAUUUUUCCCACUAUAUCACUUUUUCCCCUAUUUUUUCAUCUCCCGCAGCGGUUCCCCCUAAAUACUCCCCCUAUACCCCACUACAACUAUAAAAUAUCAUUUUCUAUAUCAACUAUCAAUUUUUUAUCUACUAACAAUUACUCGUGGACCCACAGCACAGUGUUUGGGGGAUGAACAGUGACACGCUAUAUCUGGGGGGAGAGAGAAGGGGGCCGGCGCGUAGGGGGCGCUGUAGGAGGCAGCGCUGCGGCUGUAGAGUGCCCCCUACAGGCGCCAUGCAAGGGGAGGGGGCUGCCCAGGGGGCAGCGUUGCAGUUAGCCUUAGAUACAGGUCAGUGGCGCCGAGGCCGAGGCCAUCCAGGCCCAUGCCUAGGCUAGAGGCGGCCAGGCCGGCUGGGACCAGACAAGAGGUGACUAGGCUAGUUGUACCUAGGACGGGGGAGGCCUGGCCGGCAGCGCCCACGACGAGGGCGGCAAGGCAGGUAGCGCUAGCGGCCACGUCAAGGGUGGCCAAGCCUGCAACACCCAGGCCAGGGCCAGCCGAGGGGUAGGCAGCUGCUGAGGGUCGGGGAAGGGAAGACUAGCCGCAACAAGGACCAACACUAGGGUAUAGGAGAGGAAAGAGGGGGAGAGAGCCGACCGGAGGGAGAGGAAGGCAGUCUAGCAAUUUAACAUUUCAGAACACAUCAAACACUAUCUCCAAACCAACACAAACCAUGCAAAUAAUAAUAAUAAUAAUAAUAAUAAUAAUAAUAACAACAACAACAACAACAAUAAUAAUAAUAAUAAUAAUAAUAAUAAUAAUAAUAAUAAUAAUAAUAAUAAUAAUGUGGAUAAUUAUUCCACCAUCGUUCUUCUUUAAACAAUUCCAAGAUAAAUCACAACAAUGAAUCAAAAGUAAUUUUGCAAUUCAGUCAUUUUCUAAUACAUAAUGUGAGUGAUUAUCAAAUAAUUACUUACAAUUUUCUUGCAAUAUAUGCAGUUGCUGCCUCUAGCUUCUCAUCACGCCUUGCAUCAAU